GAUGAAGAACGUAGCAAAAUGCGAUAAGUAAUGUGAAUUGCAGAAUUCAGUGAAUCAUCGAAUCUUUGAACGCACAUUGCGCCCGCUGGUAAUCCGGCGGGCAUGCCUGUUCGAGCGUCAUUUCAACCCUCAAGCCCCCGGGUUUGGUGUUGGGGAUCGGCUCUGCCCUUCUGGGCGGUGCCGCCCCCGAAAUACAUUGGCGGUCUCGCUGCAGCCUCCAUUGCGUAGUAGCUAACACCUCGCAACUGGAACGCGGCGCGGCCAUGCCGUAAAACCCCAACUUCUGAAUGUUGACCUCGGAUCAGGUAGGAAUACCCGCUGAACUUAAGCAUAUCAAUAAGCGGAGGA
RNAcentral lists this unclassified non-coding RNA (348 nucleotides) under soil metagenome. RNAcentral's name for it is "partial contains 5.8S ribosomal RNA, internal transcribed spacer 2, and large subunit ribosomal RNA". The stretch from base 1 to 120 matches the Rfam family "5.8S ribosomal RNA", at positions 35 to 154 of the family's 154-position model. The record is from RNAcentral.